UGGAUCAAGGACACAUCUAAAACCUACAUCACACCAGCCUUUGAAGCCUGGAAGUUGCCCACCCCUGCUCUCUAAACAUUAGUGAGGCUGCUGUUAAUAUUUUUAUUUUUCAGCAUUACAAAGAUUUAGUCUGAUACGAUGGGUUGGACUGAAGAGUUUGAAGUAUAAACUGGCCACAAGCACUCUAAACAAACAUUAAUUUAGAUGUUUCAGGUGUUUCUAAACCUCAAUAUUUGACUUUGGAAAAAGUAAUAAAAGCUCUGAUGUUUAAUUAGACGAUCAUCUGUAAGGAACUGGAGGAAACCAUGGACCACUCCAUUAAACACUCACUCAAGGCAUCAACUUUGAGUGAGAGUCUCCCAGCAUGUUUUAUUUAUUUUUUGUUUUUCAGAUGUUUCAGGGGAUCUUGAAACUGUGCAGCAACAUUACAAUGAAGUUAAGCGCAGUCAAGAGGGAGAAAUGACAUCACAGUAACCAGAUUUGCUCCACACAGUAACAGCAGAAACCUGAUGACCCACUCAACAUCUCUGAGGGAACACUGACCAAAAGCACGAGGUCUCUGGAUAUCACCACAGACAUUUCUGUUGUGUUGCCUGCUGUCUUUGAAUGCUGUGUUUGACUUUUAAUGAAUUUGGUGAAAUGAGAUUUUUCAGUCUUCACUGAGAGAAGCUCCUGGGUUUGAAUCCAGUUUGUGGCCUUUCUGUGUGGACUUUGCUUUUUCUUCCUGUGUCUGUGUGGGUGCUCUCUGUAUACUUCAACUUCUUCCCACAGGCCAAAAACAUGCGUGGGGGUUAGGUUAAUUGGUGUUAUUAGUUUUGUAUUUUGUCAUUCAUUUUUAUUUUUCAUUUCUGUUUAGUUUCAAGACUUAAAAUUUCAAUUUAUUUUUCAUUGUUUGAAAAUGUUUAGUUUUAGUGGGUUUUUAUUACUGUUACGUUCUGAUUUUAUCUACUGUUUUUUUCUUUUAAUCAAUUUUAAAUCAUGCUUUUUUUUUAUUGUUUUUUAAUGUCUCUGUAAAGCACUUAGAUUCACCUUGUUGUUGAAUUGUGCUAUAUAAAUAAACUUGCCUUGCCUUACUGUUAAUUUUUUUUUUUAAUUAUUGUUGUAUUUAGUGGAAAUAUCAGAGACAAAAUUUAGGAAAACCAGUGGAAACAAUAGAAAUGUUUCACUUUUUGAAAACAGUUGACCCACUUGUCUUGUUACAUGUCCAGUGUCUCAAACAUGUCCAUCAAUACCAUGUCAGGCACAUUGUAAUAACAUUUUUACCAAACUAACAAAUACUGAAACUAAAACUAUUUCCUCUGAUUUGUAUUUCAAAUGAGGUCAUUUAAUCAUUUCUGUUGCUUGUUGUUUUUAUUUUGUUUAACUAAAAUAUUCAUAUCUAGUCUUAGUUUUUACUUUAGUUUUAUUUGAGUGGAAUAACCUUAGGAACCUGUUCAGGGUGUACUCUGCCUCUCGCCUGACAACUGGGAAAGGCUCCAGCAACCCCGAAUUGGAUAAGCAGAAGAAAAUGGAUAGAUGAAGAUUUUUAAGCAUGAAUUCCUCCCAGAGUUUUUAAGGUUUUAAUUGUGAGGGUCUAAACCAAAAGGGCAGCACUUUGUGCAAAGAUGUUUUGAUAUAUCUAUUUUCUCCAUUUUGUUGUAUUUGUUCAUUAUUUGUAGACCCUAGUUAUACAGAAAAUUAUACAGCAGUAGAACUACAAUGUUACAGAUUGUUAAUUUUAGUGCUUUAAACCACAGGGAUACUGUGAUAUUCAGAUUCUUCCCAGUUUUCUAUAUAGCACAUGUCUUAUGUAUACCAUUUUACUUACAUUUCUAACCUAAAUAUUAAUUUACUGUAAUACAAUGGUUUCUUUGGUUGUCAUAAGUAAUAAAGCAGCAGCAAAAAUA
Molecule: long non-coding RNA, 1886 nt
Organism: Astatotilapia calliptera (eastern happy)
Lineage: Eukaryota; Metazoa; Chordata; Actinopteri; Cichliformes; Cichlidae
Source: Ensembl